This 7743-nucleotide long non-coding RNA is filed under the name Malus domestica (apple). RNAcentral's name for it is "long non-coding RNA (MDOM_LNC001907)". Lineage: Eukaryota; Viridiplantae; Streptophyta; Magnoliopsida; Rosales; Rosaceae. The record is from RNAcentral.
AAAAUUGAGUGGGUCAGUAAAACCAAUCUUUUCCAAAUCCAAACAUUUCUCAAAACGUUGUAACCCCUCUCUGUAAAACAUGUAUACUUUCCCAGAAAUGUAAAAUAUAAUUAUACAUAUAUAUUCUCAAUACUUCAACUCAUUACUCUCCACAUUUUUUCAGUACAAAUAUGACAUGCCAUAUCGGAAUUCAUCAGUUAAGUAUGAAUGCAUCAACAGUAAUUAUAUCAGGUGCAAGAAGUAAUCAACCGGAGGCCCUCUAAUAGCCCUGUACGGUUGAACCUAGAGCUCAAAAUCUAUCACUCUCACUCUGCCGGAGUCACCUCUGUGACCUGUACGGCCUUCUGCACACAAGUUACGCUCUAGUGCUUCUCUCAUCAAUCAUCUGUGCACAUAAUCUAAGGUCACCUACCAGUCGGAAUCCCUCUAACGGUCUGUACGACUGGCAUGUCGGAACCACCCCCGGUGGUCUGUACGACUAGCAUCUACUUGGAUCCAAGGCGAGCGUGCGAUGCGGUGAAUACUAUAAGCACUAAACUAUGGUGCAGGAUUUGAGCUCAAUAUACAUCAACAUCAUCAUAACAGUAAUUAAAUACUCACCUGAUAUUCACCUGUGCGUCCGCCGCACCAUUCAUUCAUAUGCAUCAUAUCUCAAUUCAUGCUUUUCAUAUCAUUUCAUGCAUGGCAAUUCGAUUCACAUUUCUAUAUACUUUUCAUAUACUUUUAUGCAUAGCAUCUCAAUUCAUAUUUUUCGUAUAAUUCUAUAUACUUUUCGCAUACUUCUAUGCAUGGCAUUUCAACUAAUAUAUCUCAUAUACUUUUAUACAUUUUCAUUUAAAAGCAUAAUUUCAUGCAUUUUCAAUUUCUGGGAAAACGGCAAGUAUUAUAUGUAUACGGAAAACAAAAACUGCCCACUCACCUGGAGUUCAUCCAACAACUCCCUAGCACCACACACAUCAAGGCGUCACGACGAUCGCCGCCUAGAAUAGUAAUCAAAUCCAACCUCAGAAUUCAUAUCGAUAGAAUAUUUAACUUAUAUAAAAUACGUCACUACGUAGUUCGAUCCGGAAGAUCUGCCACUCAGAUUUUAAAUCCAUAACUUCCAAAGGUCCACAUUAUACCUCUAGGACAACAUCCUAAAAUUUCAUUACCAUCCAACGGUUGGAUUUCCGUCAAUUUCCAAAACUAAGUGACGGUUAACAUUUUUAUAUUGUGGACUUACAAUUCCAAUUCCGGAAGAUCCGUAACUCGGAUUCCCAAUCCGUAAGUUCCAAUAAUCCUCAAAUAUUACGUAUUACAACGUAUCAAAUUUUGGUGACGAUCCAACGGUCGGAUCAUCAAUUCAUUCACAUUUUCACCUAAAUGUGAAAACUAUAAAACGUUAUUUGAACACCUAACCAACAAUCCUUAAUAACUUUCUCAUACGGUGUUCAAUUUAGGUAUAUAUGAAUAUACCACAGUGAUCUACUCGACGUCACGGACGUCGACAUAUUUUUAAAAUAAUUUUAUUUUUAUUUUUUAUUUUUACUGUAGCACCUUCUUCUUCCUUGGGUCGCCGGACUGGUUUUUCCGGCGGCCGUUUUCCGGGCAGUUUUUCAAAUUGCCAUAACUUUGUCAUUUCUCAACGAAAUCAAGUGAUUCAAAAACGAAAGUUGUAGAACUUGAAGAGACAAAGAGAAUGGUACCUUGCACAACACCUAGUUCGCCGUGGUUUGGCCGGAAACUGCCUCGAAAGCCUCGGAGGUCGCCGGAAACUGGGUAUUUUUCAAAUGAGUAUAACUUCUUCAAUACUCAACGAAAUUGAGUGAAACAAAAAGGAAAGUUGUAGUACUUGACGAGACGAAGAGAUUGAUACCUACCUCGACUCCUAACUCGCCGGGGAUUCGCCGGAAAGCCUCGAAAGCUCCGGCCAAACUUUGAACUUGUCGAUCUCCGUGUUCUUACGUCCAAAAACUUCCAACGAAGCACUCCGAGCUUCCUUGGGACCCUCACUAAGCUCACUAUGAGCUUGGAUUGUCCUAAAAAAUCAACCAAUUCAAAGCUCAUGAACAGUACACUUUCAUGGGGAGUUUAGAAUCUAGGUUUUCCGAAGUAAAACUUACCUGAAAUGGAUACCAACGUGAUCGUGAAGUCCUCAGGAUUCCAAUGGUGGUCUCAAAACUUGACGUUGGUAUAGAUUUAGGGUGGUUUUGGUGGUGGUCCGUGUGAGUUCGAAGGAGAGAGACAGAGAGAGUGAGAAAUCGUGAAGGAGGAGAGAGAAAGACAGUGAACGGGAAAUGAGGAGGGUUUUGAGGGAUGUGGGGAUCCCACGUGGUCCUUAUUCCAAUCUCCAAACACCAAACUUUAACAUUUUAACCUAAAAAUCUAAGUUCCAUCCUUAUUAAAUUCCAUUUUAUUUUUCAAACUUAGGAACCUAGAUAAUUAGCAACCUGAGCUUCACAAAUUUAGUAUUUCUUAAGGGCAAUUUCGUCCAUUCACAGCCACGAAUAUAAUAAUUUGGAACGGGCUGUGACAAUCUUCCCUCCUUAUAGAAUUUCGUCCCCGAAAUUCCAGCAACCAACCAAUUCAUCAACACUUAUACCAACCUCGGUAAGUUUCUUUCAUCCGAUUCUUUUUCUCCCACGUAAUUUUCUUCCACUGAAUGAUUCCUUCACAAAACUUUUACCAUUUACUCUAUCUUAACUCUCAGGACCUUCUUUUUCCAAUCCAAAUUCUACUUUUCUAAGGUGAACACUUCUAAAAUAUAAAACCAUUUACCUUAUAUACUCGAUUAGUGGCAUAUCCAUCUGUUGAUGUCUUUUGUCAUUCCUGGUUACUUUUAGGUUAACUUAAUCACCUGAAAUACUUUGAGGAGACUCAUCCAUAGUCUCAGGGUCUACUAAAACUCUUUCUCGAUCGAAUCUUUUCUCUACCCAGAAAUAUUCCAUUCACAAGUCAACAAAACACACACAUGACACACUUUCAUGAACCUUAUGGCUUCACUUCGGAAACUGCGCAACCAACAUACUUAAGAAACUUAGCAGUUCCGUAAUCCAAUUCUCUUUCCAUUUCCGUUUCGAAACAGAAAAUAGCUGUCUCAAUCCAAAGGGUUAUUUCUUUCUGCCUCAAUCUGCUGACCAAUAAAAAUGUCGAAUGGUAUGAUAAACCUUAUUACUUUCGGAAUAUUGCAGAAGUUGAACAGUGAACUUCGUCCAAUAUUUGCUUGCUUCAAAUCCUCAGCAUUAGGCACAUACUUUUUGUUUUCUUGUAUCCACAUACCAUUUGAUUCACGAAUCAUGUACUCAUUCUUUUUCCCUUCUUUCUCUGCCUUGGUUAAUUCUUAAAUUUCCUCGUCAAACAUUUAUGUUUCGAGUACGACCUUACCAAAAGGCCUAACUUGAAACUUAGCAAGUAUAACUUCUUCUCGAUCUUUCAUUCUUAACUUUACUUUAGUUGAUUUCCAAUCCACAAGAAGAUAAUCUUGGCAAGCGUACCAGAUAUUAAUUCUUACUGCAGUCUUCUUAUCAAGUGCUUCAGCUAGAACAAACUUUACGAUCACCCUGAUCGUACAAUCAUGUUCAUUAAGCAAUACAAUUCACUUUCGCUGCCUCAUAUCAAAAUCCUUCCAAGAAAUAGAUAUUGAAGACUUUUUGGAUUCGUAAAAAUCUUGCAUUCUUACCAAAUAUAAUGCCUUCAUAACUUCACAGCAAGAAUGAUAAUCAUGACUUCCAAGUCACCCGUAGGGUAAUUCAUCUCAUGAGGUUCCAUUUAUCGUGAAACGUAUGCAAUCACCCUAACAUUUGCAUCAACAUGCCUCCAAUACCAUUCAAGAAACAUCACUAAAAAUUUAUGAUUACCAUUAUUCUCUGGGAAUACCAAAAUACGUGCAUGAGUGAGGAAAUACUUCAGUUGUUGAAUCCUUUGCUCACAAUUUCCUUCCCACUCAUACAUAACCUCUUUUCUCAUCAGUCUCGUUAAUGACAAAGCAAUGACUAAAAAUUCUUUCACAACCAUCCAAAAUAGCCUGGUAAGCUAAGAAAUUCCAAAUCUCAAUUACGACUCGUGGUUGUUCCAAAUUCUCAAUUUCUGCUAUCCUUUAAGGAUUCACUUGAAUACCUUAAGCAGAUAUAACCAAUCUCAGAAUGCCACUUGAUUCAUCCAACAUUCGCAUUUGCUAAACUUAGCAUACAACCAACGUUCUCUCAAUCUUUACUUCAUUGACUUAAUACGUUUACAUACUCUGCUCUGGCUCAGAAUAUGCCAGAAUAUCUUCAAUGGAAAUGAUAUCAAUUUAUCAAGGCAUCAUUGGAAUACUUCAUCCAAUAACUCAUAAAACAGCAUGAGUAUCCAUAUAGCAUCACCAAACUUCAUAAAAACUAUAACAAGUCCAGAAAACCAUCUUAUGAUCAACGUCACUUAUAAUAUUCAAUUGGUAGUAACCAGAUCUCAAUUCAAUCUUUGAAUCUUCGCAAUUACUUCUGAGCUGGUUAAAUAAACAUCAGUACAUAUGGAUGGUUCUCAAUCGUUACCCGACUCCAUUAUCUAUAAUCAAGGAAAUCCAUUUUCUUUCUCAAACUGGGGCUCCUCAAAAGUGUUGUACUAGGUUGUAAUCAACUUAUCCAAACUGAACUCCAAUCCUUGAAAAUCAUCCUGAACCAAUCUCCAAAUUUCAAUAAGAUCUCCUCAACUUCCAUCAAAAUACGACAUCAGAAAAGUCUAACUCUUUCGACAUUAUUCACACUACUCCAAACAACAUCAUUUAGCACCACAUGAGCUAAGUAUUUUUGACAGCCUUUCGAAAACAAUCUCUCUUUGCUCUCACAGCAUAAAUAACAGCCUGACUCAAUCCAUUUUGCAUACUUACAAAAGUAAUCUCUGUUCAUCCAGAUCGAUGGAAAGUACUGGUUUCCCAUAACAUUUCGUCUUGUCACAAUUAUAACCAACCAAUCUAAUGGAAACAGAAUUAACUGAUACAAUAUAUAUUCAUUCCAAAUAAGUACAAUACUAACUAAAAUAAUAAAUCUCUACCGGUUGCCUUGCUUAACGCCACGAAUGAGUUGAGUUAUUAAUAUUACGGUUGCAGCCCGCAAUACUGAUAAAAUCAUCGUUGUCUCGAUAAGUAGGCAACCACUCACAAAGAUAUAACAUUACUAUUUUGUCACUCAAUGCAAAAUACAUACACACUCGUCUCAACUACAUUUAUUUACCACUCUCUAGGUAUUCAUACAUAAUAAUAAGAAAUAUAUCAUCCGAAGUCAACUAGAAUGACCAAUACGGAUUGAUUCUUUUCUCUCAAUAAUACGUCGGCCGGAUCCACUCGCGCGUGGUCGGCACGGCCGAGCCUAUAACUCACCAAUUUCUCAUGUGUCAGUCAAAUCCAUUUCUUCAUGGGUCCGUACGGCUGAAACAUAUAACUCAUCAAAUAUCUCUGUACUCACGGUCAAUCCGACCAAACUACUAAAUCCAUAACUCUGCUGAAUCGACACUAUGAUUUCAUGGAAAAUUGUUGAGUACAACUGAUUCUAGGGACGAUUCACAACUCUGUGUCCCUUCUGUUCACAUAAACACAUUCAUUAAUUUCACAUUUCCCAAAGUGUUACUUUUGUACCUGCUGCACAAAGUACAUUUCCUUUACUCGAGACACCUUGUCUCAAAUAUCUGGGAUUACCAGUAUAUCCAUCACUUUUACUCUGACCAGCGACAUUAAAACCUCAGCUGGAAGAAUUAACUCUAGCUUCACUUCUUUCGAAGCUCUGAAUCCUUCGAUAUUCUUGAUAUGACGAAUCAUUAACUUUAUUGUCUUCUUUUAAUUCCUCUUUACUCUCGUUGAUCAUGUUCUCAGAGUCCUCAAGGCUCAACACAACAUCUCGUAUAUUCCUGGUAAAAGUAUAAUGGAUAGUGGUCACCCAAAAUACCACUUCCCUUUUUGCCACCCAGCUUAAAAUAUAUCAUACCUUACAAUACAACAAGAUGUCUGGAGGAUAAACUUUUCCUCGAAAACAAGUUUCCUUAAACAAUUUAAAAAUCAGCUGAUUCUCUUGUGACAACAAUUAAUAAUCCUGUUUUCCACCAGGAUACAAAUUCAUACCCAAACCAGGUAAUCGUCUCGACCCCCUGUCAGAAGGAAGAUUCCUUUGACUUGCAUAAUCUGAAACAUCUUUACCAAAUGGUUUAAACGUUUACUCGCUCCCUCAGGUUUCAUCAUUUCAUAAGGUGAUUCAAAUUCAACUCAUACCCCGUCUUAAAAUGUCCAUUUUGAUAAUAUACUGAAUCACCAUAAUAAUAGUUUCCCCCAAACCGCUAAAGGGAGAGCUAAAUUCCUCUAACUACGUGGUUUGCUACGAGGCGGUGUAGUUCUGACAGAAUUCACUAGAAACUUCUCAAGAUGUCCAAGAUUGCAACCAUGCUCUGAUACCAACUGACACACCCCGUCCCGAAGGAGGGCAUGCUGGCCGUCACGUGAGAGUGACGUAACCAUUUACACAGUACGGAAGCUUUAAAUAUACAAUUUCUAAGAUGAAACACCCAAAGGUGAGACCUAAUUUUGUGAAUUCUGUCAGAAUACCGUUGGAUUCCUCGUGGCCACCAAAACUCUGCUAUCAAGAACCUGGAGGGGCGAAAAACAAAAUUGAGUGGGUCAGUAAAACCAAUCUUUUCCAAAUCCAAACAUUUCUCAAAACGUUGUAACCCCUCUCUGUAAAACAUGUAUACUUUCCCAGAAAUGUAAAAUAUAAUUAUACAUAUAUAUUCUCAAUACUUCAACUCAUUACUCCACAUUUUUCAGUACAAAUAUGACAUGCCAUAUCGGAAUUCAUCAGUUAAGUAUGAAUGCAUCAACAGUAAUUAUAUCAGGUGCAAGAAGUAAUCAACCGGAGGCCCUCUAAUAGCCCUGUACGGUUGAACCUAGAGCUCAAAAUCUAUCACUCUCACUCUGCCGGAGUCACCUCUGUGACCUGUACGGCCUUCUGCACACAAGUUACGCUCUAGUGCUUCUCUCAUCAAUCAUCUGUGCACAUAAUCUAAGGUCACCUACCAGUCGGAAUCCCUCUAACGGUCUGUACGACUGGCAUGUCGGAACCACCCCCGGUGGUCUGUACGACUAGCAUCUACUUGGAUCCAAGGCGAGCGUGCGAUGCGGUGAAUACUAUAAGCACUAAACUAUGGUGCAGGAUUUGAGCUCAAUAUACAUCAACAUCAUCAUAACAGUAAUUAAAUACUCACCUGAUAUUCACCUGUGCGUCCGCCGCACCAUUCAUUCAUAUGCAUCAUAUCUCAAUUCAUGCUUUUCAUAUCAUUUCAUGCAUGGCAAUUCGAUUCACAUUUCUAUAUACUUUUCAUAUACUUUUAUGCAUAGCAUCUCAAUUCAUAUUUUUCGUAUAAUUCUAUAUACUUUUCGCAUACUUCUAUGCAUGGCAUUUCAACUAAUAUAUCUCAUAUACUUUUAUACAUUUUCAUUUAAAAGCAUAAUUUCAUGCAUUUUCAAUUUCUGGGAAAACGGCAAGUAUAUAUGUAUACGGAAAACAAAACUGCCCACUCACCUGGAGUUCAUCCAACAACUCCCUAGCACCACACAUCAAGGCGUCACGACGAUCGCCGCCUAGAAUAGUAAUCAAAUCCAACCUCAGAAUUCAUAUCGAUAGAAUAUUUAACUUAUAUAAAAUACGUCACUACGUAGUUCGAUCCGGAAGAUCUGCCACUCAGAUUUUAAAUCCAUAACUUCCAAAGGUCCACAUUAUACCUCUAGGACAACAUCCUAAAAUUUCA